UGUGCGUCUACCUCCCACGACUGCACAACGCGAAGAACCUUACCCACCUUUGACAUGUACGGAAUCCUUUAGAGAUAGAGGAGUGCUCGAAAGAGAGCCGUAACACAGGUGCUGCAUGGCUGUCGUCAGCUCGUGUCGUGAGAUGUUGGGUUAAGUCCCGCAACGAGCGCAACCCUUGCCAUUAGUUGCUACAUUUAGUUGAGCACUCUAAUGGGACUGCCGGUGACAAACCGGAGGAAGGUGGGGAUGACGUCAAGUCCUCAUGGCCCUUAUAGGGUGGGGCUACACACGUCAUACAAUGGCUGGUACAAAGGGUUGCCAACCCGCGAGGGGGAGCUAAUCCCAUAAAGCCAGUCGUAGUCCGGAUCGCAGUCUGCAACUCGACUGCGUGAAGUCGGAAUCGCUAGUAAUCGUGGAUCAGAAUGUCACGGUGAAUACGUUCCCGGGUCUUGUACACACCG
This 461-nucleotide ribosomal RNA is filed under the name uncultured bacterium. RNAcentral's name for it is "bacterial SSU rRNA". It matches the Rfam family "Bacterial small subunit ribosomal RNA", at positions 940 to 1392 of the family's 1533-position model. The record is from RNAcentral.